This 988-nucleotide long non-coding RNA is filed under the name Medicago truncatula (barrel medic). RNAcentral's name for it is "long non-coding RNA (MTRU_LNC005603)". The record is from RNAcentral. Lineage: Eukaryota; Viridiplantae; Streptophyta; Magnoliopsida; Fabales; Fabaceae.
CCAAAUUGAAUUAAAAUCUCCACAAACACAACAUAUCACCCACUCAUCACCUAUAACUUUCUUAUAUAAUUUGACAUAUUGUUGAUAGUUUGACAAAAUUCGAUCUUUCUAUAAAUAGUUAUUCUAGUAUUUUUUUUAGGCUUAUUAGAUCCGCUGGUCCCUCAAUUAAUUUCCAUUUUUCAUUUUGGUCCCACAAUUGAUAAAAAGUAUCUUUUGAUCCUUUAGAUUUUCCUCCAUUUGCCGAAUAAAUCCCGACGGUUAACUUUAACCCAAAUGAUGUAUAUGGUGGACCAAUCUUAAAAAUGGUCCACCAUAAUCUUUUUUAUUAAAAGAUGAUUGUUAGAUCAUGCAUGUCUAUUGUAUCUUCCGGUGAGUCAACAACACUUAACCCUUUUUCCCAUUUCUUCAUCUUCAUCCCUCUCAUCUUCAUCAUCUUCUUCGCACAACCUCAUCAAUCUUCAAACUCAACCUAGAAAAUCCAGUAAUUUUAAAAUUAAUAGUACAUAAUCUUUGCCCCCGUGAAUGAUCGUCCAUUUUCUUCAUCUCUAUUCCCUCAAUCAACCUCUUAUUUUUUAUUGUUGACUUUCGAAAUCAUUAACUAGAGAUGAAAUGAAAUAAGUGAAAUGAAAACUACAAUCUAAACAGUGAAUCGGAACCAAAUCCGAUUCAAAAUCUCCACCACCGGUGAUGAAUAGUAACGCAGAUUCAAGGUCCUGGAGAGAGAAACGCAGAAAUUCCACCAUGGCUUUGAAAUGAUUCGGAUGGGUUGGGUGAUAAGGAUUGGAUUUGAAACGCAAAAACGCAGAGAAAGGGGAAAAUCAAGGGUUUGUUGGAUUUGAAAUGAUUCAUAUGGGUUUGGAGAUAAAGAUAUGAUGUUGCUUUUAAUUGAAUGUUGUUAAUUCCAUCAUGGCAGAAGUGAAAAAGAAACAACAAGAAGCAAAAAUGGGUUUGACAGAAGUGAAAAAGAGAUGGGUUUGCAGGUAUGAAG